RNAcentral lists this unclassified non-coding RNA (248 nucleotides) under uncultured fungus. Its description in RNAcentral is "sequence contains ITS2". The stretch from base 1 to 52 matches the Rfam family "5.8S ribosomal RNA", at positions 103 to 154 of the family's 154-position model. Lineage: Eukaryota; Fungi. The record is from RNAcentral.
AACGCAUAUUGCGCCCUUUGGUAUUCCGAGGGGCAUGCCUGUUCGAGCGUCAUUUACAUUCUCAAGCGUUUGCUUGGUGUUGGAGAUUGCCCCGGCGGGGCACCUCCGAAACAUAGCGGCGACGUAGCCGGACUUCCUGGCGUAGUGACCUUUUCCACCGCCCCGGAGUUGUCGGUCGUGCGUUAGCCAGACAACACCCCCUCUCUAAAAUCGACCUCGGAUCAGGCAGGACUACCCGCUGAACUUAA